AAGUCGUAACAAGGUCUCCGUAGGUGAACCUGCGGAGGGAUCAUUACUGAGUGAGGGUUUCUGACCCGACCUCCAACCCUUUGUGAUUAAAACCUCUGUUGCCUCGGGGGCGACCCGGGCCUCGUGUCUAGGGCCCCCGACGGACCAUUUCAAAACACUGCAUCUCUGCGUCGGAUUGAAUAAAGUAAAUUGAAUUAAAACUUUCAACAACGGAUCUCUUGGUUCUG
RNAcentral lists this unclassified non-coding RNA (227 nucleotides) under air metagenome. RNAcentral's name for it is "partial contains small subunit ribosomal RNA, internal transcribed spacer 1, and 5.8S ribosomal RNA". The stretch from base 1 to 46 matches the Rfam family "Eukaryotic small subunit ribosomal RNA", at positions 1786 to 1831 of the family's 1831-position model. The record is from RNAcentral.